This is a long non-coding RNA of Prionailurus viverrinus (fishing cat), 657 nucleotides long. RefSeq lists it as uncharacterized. The transcript has 2 exons. NCBI's taxonomy places the organism in Eukaryota, Metazoa, Chordata, Mammalia, Carnivora, Felidae. The record is from RefSeq and is a predicted model, not a curated record.
CCCCCUCCUCUCACAGCUACGUUUCUGUCGCGCACGUUCUCUUCAGGCACAGAGCUACUUUUCAGCAUGUCACAGAGAGCGAACAUGCAAGCAUGGCGUUUACGGCUUUCCCCCAAAAGUGAUCUGUGACUGGAUCGCGAGCAGACCUGAGCUUUAUAGGGUGUCAUAGGCUGUUGCUUUCGUAAGUGUCACGGACAUAAAACGAACUUUGUGGAAGCACCGAGUUCUCAUGAGUACUGAUUCUGCGAGCAGGCCCGGCAGCACAGGGAUGGGGGAGGAAUUGUCCGGAUCCUGGAAUAAUCACGGGGCAGCACGGCCUCGCUCUGGGCUUCUGUGUCCUACUUGUUUACAGACUCGUCAUCCGUUCUGCGGAUUGGGCCAGCGAGUUGCUCUGUUGACAGCCAAAGGCACUCAUGGGAAGACUUAAACAACCAAGUGUGACAGCACACGUGGGGUCACUCCGUCUACCAUGAAAGUAGGACCCGUGUCUGCCUCAGAUUGGGGAUUCUUACACAAUGAUCAAAGAAGCCCAAACUUUUUCCUUUACUCCGAAGACUUUAAACACUGGACCGUGACCUUCUUAGGGACAGUGUGACUUUGCUCCUCUCUCACACUCAGCCUAGAGACGGUGCCCAGAUCGGAAAUAAAGCAGCUGAA